RNAcentral lists this ribosomal RNA (387 nucleotides) under Paenibacillus sp. DJM1G10. Its description in RNAcentral is "bacterial SSU rRNA". It matches the Rfam family "Bacterial small subunit ribosomal RNA", at positions 831 to 1217 of the family's 1533-position model. Lineage: Bacteria; Bacillati; Bacillota; Bacilli; Caryophanales; Paenibacillaceae. The record is from RNAcentral.
GCGAUACCCUUGGUGCCGAAGUUAACACAUUAAGCAUUCCGCCUGGGGAGUACGGGCGCAAGACUGAAACUCAAAGGAAUUGACGGGGACCCGCACAAGCAGUGGAGUAUGUGGUUUAAUUCGAAGCAACGCGAAGAACCUUACCAGGUCUUGACAUCCCCCUGACCGGUCUAGAGAUAGGCCUUUCCUUCGGGACAGGGGAGACAGGUGGUGCAUGGUUGUCGUCAGCUCGUGUCGUGAGAUGUUGGGUUAAGUCCCGCAACGAGCGCAACCCUUGACUUUAGUUGCCAGCAGGUAAGGCUGGGCACUCUAGAGUGACUGCCGGUGACAAACCGGAGGAAGGUGGGGAUGACGUCAAAUCAUCAUGCCCCUUAUGACCUGGGCUAC